GAUGAACGCUGGCGGCGUGCCUAAUACAUGCAAGUCGAGCGAACGGACGAGAAGCUUGCUUUUCUGAUGUUAGCGGCGGACGGGUGAGUAACACGUGGAUAACCUACCUAUAAGACUGGGAUAACUUCGGGAAACCGGAGCUAAUACCGGAUAAUAUUUUGAACCGCAUGGUUCAAAAGUGAAAGACGGUCUUGCUGUCACUUAUAGAUGGAUCCGCGCUGCAUUAGCUAGUUGGUAAGGUAACGGCUUACCAAGGCAACGAUGCAUAGCCGACCUGAGAGGGUGAUCAGCCACACUGGAACUGAGACACGGUCCAGACUCCUACGGGAGGCAGCAGUAGGGAAUAUUCCGCAAUGGGCGAAAGCCUGACGGAGCAACACCGCGUGAGUGAAGAAGGUCUUCGGAUCGUAAAACUCUGUUGUUAGGGAAGAACAUAUGUGUAAGUAACUGUGCACAUCUUGACGGUACCUAAUCAGAAAGCCACGGCUAACUACGUG
RNAcentral lists this ribosomal RNA (497 nucleotides) under uncultured bacterium. RNAcentral's name for it is "partial 16S ribosomal RNA". It matches the Rfam family "Bacterial small subunit ribosomal RNA", at positions 28 to 507 of the family's 1533-position model. The record is from RNAcentral.